This is a long non-coding RNA of Dendrobium catenatum, 1631 nucleotides long. RefSeq lists it as uncharacterized. The transcript has 7 exons. The record is from RefSeq and is a predicted model, not a curated record. NCBI's taxonomy places the organism in Eukaryota, Viridiplantae, Streptophyta, Magnoliopsida, Asparagales, Orchidaceae.
CUAAAUAUACUGAGCUUAAUUGGGCAAAAAGCCAAUUUUGGAUCAACCCUUGUUAAUCCGGCAAAUCUUCUUUUACGUUCAGCCUAUUGCCAACUUAGAACAGUUCAUAUCUGUCGCUCGUCUCCGCUCGUUUCCAGUUGCCCCGCCAUUUUCUUGCCGGUAGUUGGCUUCUCCUUAAGCCUCUUCGUCGGCGUUCUUCCACCUACGCUACGCCGCCACGAUCUCCUUCCCUGAUAUAUAUAUACUUGGCCGCCGCCCCGCUGCUCUCGAAGAAUUCAUUGCUUGAAAACAAUGAAGAUUACCCUUUGGUCUUUUUUCUAGUGUUUUUUCACCCUAAUAAAGUUUUUUUGUAGGUUAUGUUUAAUAAAUCAGUGACAGAAACCUUUUAUUUCGGAAGAAAAAAAAAUAACGAUACAUGCUUUCUUCUGAUGAACGGUUUGUCUUUUAACAAUAUGCAAACGAUUUGCCCUGUAACAAUAUGCAAGUAUUGAUUUUGUCUUCUUUUUCAUUCGUUUCAUAUCACAAAGCGUAUUAAUCUGAUUUAGAAUAUUAUGCGAAGGAAGUGAAUUUUGGAAUUCUGAACCAAUGUCAGCGGAAUCUAUGUAAUACCCUGAUCUUGAUCCGUGAGCGCAUUCGCUUGAUCUGGUUAGUGAACCCUCUGCAAUUCUUUCUUAGAGCCACCGACUUUGAGAACCUCAUCAAAUUCUUUAGCCCUUGGCGGCUUCUUACACGCCUGCAAAUUGUACCUGUUGGAGUUCAAAGCUGAUCAGUAAGAAAAAACCGAGAUUGUAACUGAAAGAAUAAACAAAGUUGCGGCAUACUGACUCAAGAUUUUUCCUGGACUUUUUUUGUUGUCAAGGCUAAAUUCAAAUUAUUUUGUAGGAACCUUCUUGAAUAGGAAUGAGUGUAAACGGCGUUGUGUCUAUACCAAAAGAUACAAAUCCUCCAUUAGUAGUCAAAUACUGGAAAUUCUCCCCUCUUAAUUCCGGAGGAGGUAUUGGUGACCAUGUACAAUGUGGUGCCUUGGCGUAAGCAGAUGAAUGUCCAACAUCGAAGUAAGAUUAAUAAAGCCAUACCUAUGUUAUGUGGGAGUCUACUAAACCUCAAUCUCAGGGUAAUCCAUGUGGAAGCAUGACUUCUGGAGUUAGUGAUAACAUGGAUAUUGAUAAGUAUAUGAUAGAGGGAUCUGAUGCUGAAGCCUGCACGCAGCUCUUAAAAUGUUAAAAUUCCAGAGAUUGCAGGAAGAUACCUGGAUGUUGUAGUGAACUGAUCCAAAUUCAUACAGGUGGUGAUCAAUGUCCGCUGGUAUUUCCAUGCUACAACAAAGAAACCUCUAUACUUCAAUACAAUAAAAAUCUCCUUCAAAGCAGGGGAUUCCUUCCUGAAAUAUGCCAUCUUCUUGGUGUCCUUCGAAUAACUCUUGGAGAUCAGAAUAUCCAAUAUUUAUGCAAGUUUGAAUAUCAUUGUCAGCUUAGCUCAUGAGUUGAAAAGCCACUAAAAGUCAGGGCAGAUUUUUACAGUAAAGUAGUCUUUCUUUGAAGCAAACUAUCUCCUUCAGUGAUUGCUGCUUUGCUUCAAAAUUACUCUGCCAUGAUUAUAGCUGGUUGGUGAUUGCAGUGAAGGUUAUGAUG